Molecule: ribosomal RNA, 301 nt
Filed under: uncultured bacterium
Lineage: Bacteria
Description: partial 16S ribosomal RNA
Rfam family: Bacterial small subunit ribosomal RNA
Source: RNAcentral
CAGUCGCCGCGGUAAUACAGAGGGUGCGAGCGUUAAUCGGAUUUACUGGGCGUAAAGCGUGCGUAGGCGGCUUCUUAAGUCGGAUGUGAAAUCCCUGAGCUUAACUUAGGAAUUGCAUUCGAUACUGGGAAGCUAGAGUAUGGGAGAGGAUGGUAGAAUUCCAGGUGUAGCGGUGAAAUGCGUAGAGAUCUGGAGGAAUACCGAUGGCGAAGGCAGCCAUCUGGCCUAAUACUAACGCUGAGGUACGAAAGCAUGGGGAGCAAACAGGAUUAGAUACCCCUGUAGUCCCUGUCUCUUAUAC